This 112-nucleotide ribosomal RNA is filed under the name Caerostris extrusa. Lineage: Eukaryota; Metazoa; Arthropoda; Arachnida; Araneae; Araneidae. The record is from RNAcentral.
AACGGCCAUACCAUGCUGAAUAUACCGGUUCUCGUUAGAUCACCGAAGUCAAGCAUCAUUGGGCACGGUCAGUACUUGGGUGGGUGACCACCUGGGAACACCGUGUGCCGUU